This is a long non-coding RNA of Maniola jurtina (meadow brown), 367 nucleotides long. RefSeq lists it as uncharacterized. The record is from RefSeq and is a predicted model, not a curated record. The transcript is spliced from 3 exons. NCBI's taxonomy places the organism in Eukaryota, Metazoa, Arthropoda, Insecta, Lepidoptera, Nymphalidae.
CAGAGCUCCCGUGCACAUAGUGAGCGGCUCCGCGGGCUGCGACGAGGGCCGCGACCACUUUACACAGUCUCCCUUCAACUGGUCGGCUUUCCGGUCUCAAGACUACGGAUACACUCGGUUCAAGGCUUACAAUAAGACGCACAUCAAUAUUGAGCAAGUGUCAGUAGAUCUCGGAGGACAAGUCAUUGACUCGUUUUGGCUGAAGAAAACCAUUUCAUCAAGUCGAGAUCCAACAUUUUCUACGAAGAUUUAAAAUACACUAUACCAAAUAUUUUUUACUCCAUAUUUUGACGGCCUCCCUGGCGCAGGGGUCUUAGAAAUGAGAGAGGAUUCAAUUCUCGGCAGGAAAAAUUUGGAAUUUCAUAAU